This 573-nucleotide long non-coding RNA is filed under the name Cyanistes caeruleus (blue tit). RNAcentral describes it as "lncRNA (ENSCCEG00000021508.1)". Lineage: Eukaryota; Metazoa; Chordata; Aves; Passeriformes; Paridae. The record is from RNAcentral.
AUUUGCUGUUCUCCAUCCUUCUCUUCCCAACAGGUGCUGAGUUUGUUUCCCAUUCAGUGGCUGCUGUUUGCCUCAUGGUCUUUGGCAUCUGCCUUGCAAUCUCCAAGUGAGCCAGUGAGGUCUUCUUUGGUGCCCAGCCACUUCUAAUCAAACAAGCAUGUUUCUGGGGGAUGGCAAAGGCAGAAACUGUCACAAUUCCAGGCAAACCAAGUCAGGGUUUAGUGCUGCUGGACUGCUGCAGGUUGAGGAGUCUUUAAAGCCCAGGUCAAAUGUGCAGCUUAAGUUGUGGUUGAAGAGACCCAAUACCAGCUUGCUAGAAGGAGGCUGGGCUGUGAUCUGAGACCCGCUAAUGCAGUUCCACUGAGACAAUACUUGAGAGAAAGAUAGAAUGAUCUGCAAGGAAAAAGUAAUUGUGGCCUCAUAAAAACAGCAGGUCCAUUACACAAACCGCACAUGUUCCCUGCUUUAUGUACUCUGUGAAAACUCAACAGCUGGCAUUCGUACUAUGGCUAGUGGUAAGUUUCAUUUCUCUGAAAAAUUUUAAAUGCAGAAUUUGGACUUGUGUCCUAUAAU